This 497-nucleotide ribosomal RNA is filed under the name Chrysosporium keratinophilum. Its description in RNAcentral is "eukaryotic LSU rRNA". The stretch from base 135 to 288 matches the Rfam family "5.8S ribosomal RNA". Lineage: Eukaryota; Fungi; Ascomycota; Eurotiomycetes; Onygenales; Onygenaceae. The record is from RNAcentral.
ACUUGGUUGCCUUGGUGAACCUGCCCUUGUGGCUGCCGGGGAUGCCUCACGGUGUCCCGGGCUCGCGCUCACCAGUGGAACAUUUGAACUCUUACCUGAAAAUAGUCAGUCUGAGCAUUAUGCAAAUUAAAUAAAACUUUCAACAACGGAUCUCUUGGUUCCGGCAUCGAUGAAGAACGCAGCGAAAUGCGAUAAGUAAUGUGAAUUGCAGAAUUCCGUGAAUCAUCGAAUCUUUGAACGCACAUUGCGCCCUCUGGUAUUCCGGGGGGCAUGCCUGUUCGAGCGUCAUUGCAACCCCUCAAGCACAGCUUGUGUGUUGGGCCAUCGUCCCUCUUCUGUGGACGGGCCUGAAAUGCAGUGGCAGCACCGAGUUCUGGUGUCUGAGCAUAUGGGAAUCUCUUAUCGCUCAAAAGACCCAAUCGGCGCUGAUGUCAGAUUUUUAUCCAGUUUGACCUCGGAUCAGGUAGGAGUACCCGCUGAACUUAAGCAUAUCAAUA